UGGUAACUACUGGACCUAGAAUAGUCAGACAUGUUUCAGACAUAGAAUUUCCUUUAAGAAUAACUAGCCAUAUUCUGGGAAGGACAUAACACUACUAUUAAAUUUAAAUACUUGCAUAAUAUUUAAUAACACAACAAACAAUGUGCCACAUCUGUAUAUACUUCCUUUGUGCCCAACUUUAUCACUGAGUUUGGUAACUUUCAGACAAAGUCCAAACAGAUGGCAAUUUCAGUGACUUAACCUUACUUGUUUUUAAACAGCUAUGUAUCUGACUUGACCUAAAGAGCAGUGAUAUAUACUGAAGUCUCAACAAGAAUUGUGAAAUGUGUAGACCACCAUGGCCACUGUAUCACAUUUUGUCCACAUUAGCCCUCAUCAAGCCAGCACUUUGGUAAUGGAAGGAGAUGCACAAAGGUAUACUCUGACAGACAGCCA
Molecule: long non-coding RNA, 435 nt
Filed under: Bos taurus (domestic cattle)
Lineage: Eukaryota; Metazoa; Chordata; Mammalia; Artiodactyla; Bovidae
Description: long non-coding RNA NONBTAT023730
Source: RNAcentral